GGAGAGGUCGAGAGAGGGAGAGGUCGAGAGAGAGGGAGAGAGGUCGAGAGAGGGAGAGAGGUCGAGAGAGGGAGAGAGGUCGAGAGAGGUCGAGAGAGAGAGAGGGAGGUCGAGAGAGAGAGAGGGAGGUCGAGAGAGAGAGAGGGAGGUCGAGAGAGAGAGAGAGGGAGGUCGAGAGAGAGAGAGAGGGAGGUCGAGAGAGAGAGAGAGGGAGGUCGAGAGAGAGAGAGAGGGAGGUCGAGAGAGAGAGAGAGAGAGGGAGGUCGAGAGAGAGAGAGAGGUCGAGAGAGAGAGAGAGAGGUCGAGAGAGAGAGAGGGAGGUCGAGAGAGAGAGAGGGAGGUCGAGAGAGAGAGAGAGGGAGGUCGAGAGAGAGAGAGGGAGGUCGAGAGAGAGAGGUCGAGAGAGAGAGAGGUCGAGAGAGAGAGAGGUCGAGAGAGAGAGAGGUCGAGAGAGAGAGAGGUCGAGAGAGAGAGAGCGGUCGAGAGAGAGAGAGAGAGGUCGAGAGAGAGAGAGAGCGGUCGAGAGAGAGAGGUCGAAAGAGAGAGAGGUCGAGAGGUCGAAAGAGAGAGAGCGAGGUCGAGAGAGAGAGAGAGGUUGAGAGAGAGUGGUCGAGAGAGAGAGAAAAAAAUAUACUUAAAUUCACACAGGACACCGGAUAGGACAGGAGAAGUACUCCAGAUAUAACAAACUGACCCUAGCCCCCCGACACACACUACUGCAGCAUAAAUACUUGAGGCUGAGACAGGAGGGGUCAGGAGACACUGUGGCCCCAUCCGAUGACACCCACGGACAGGGCCAAACAGGAAGGAUAUAACCCCACCCACUUUGCCAAAGCACAGCCCCCACA
Oncorhynchus tshawytscha (Chinook salmon) is the source of this 848-nucleotide long non-coding RNA. NCBI's taxonomy places the organism in Eukaryota, Metazoa, Chordata, Actinopteri, Salmoniformes, Salmonidae. The record is from Ensembl.